Saccostrea echinata is the source of this 295-nucleotide long non-coding RNA. RefSeq lists it as uncharacterized. The record is from RefSeq and is a predicted model, not a curated record. NCBI's taxonomy places the organism in Eukaryota, Metazoa, Mollusca, Bivalvia, Ostreida, Ostreidae. The transcript is spliced from 3 exons.
UCUGGAUAAUUCCACGAACCGUCAGCGGCGGACUAUAACAGAUCAUAAUCGCAGUUGUUUGGUGCAAGACCAUAGAAUGGUACCCAAUUUUGCCUGCCCUCAUCAGUCAUCACAAUAUAAAGGAUUUUACAUUUAGAAGACAAUCCUGCAAAUUUGCAGCUGUACAAAUUGCACUUAUCUCAUCUGCUGCUGGAAUAAAUAAUGAAAGAUUUUCAAACCAGUGUCCAAGAGCCCCCUAGAGUCUGAAAUGAAGGUGUUCUUUAUUAAGGAGAUCAGUGUGUGAUGUAUUUGUUUU